GCCUAGCCAUAAACUUUAAUAGAAAUCAACUAACUAUUCGCCAGAAUACUACAAGCAAAACGCUUGAAACUCAAAGGACUUGGUGGUGUCCCAUAUCGUCCUAGAGGAGCCUGUCCUAUAAUCGAUACUCCACGAUAAACCUUACCAUUUUUGGCCACUCCAGCCUAUAUACCGCCGUCGCCAGCCUACCCCAUGAGGGCUCAUCAGUAGGCAAAAUUGUUUUCACACAAAAACGUCAGGUCAAGGUGUAGCUUAUAAAAUGGGAGAGAUGGGCUACAUUUUCUAAAUUAGAAAAUACGAACAAUACAAUGAAACCUUGUAUUAGAAGGAGGAUUUAGCAGUAAAAUAAACAGAAAAAUUAUUUUAAAAAAGCU
RNAcentral lists this ribosomal RNA (374 nucleotides) under Tracheloptychus petersi. RNAcentral describes it as "partial 12S ribosomal RNA". It matches the Rfam family "Bacterial small subunit ribosomal RNA", at positions 794 to 1372 of the family's 1533-position model. The record is from RNAcentral. Lineage: Eukaryota; Metazoa; Chordata; Lepidosauria; Squamata; Gerrhosauridae.